AACAUUUGUGACCAGCCUAGGCGACAUAGUGAGACCUGUCUCUACAAAAAAUAUAUAAUUAGCUGGGCGUGGUGGCGCGCGCCUGUGGUCCAAGCUUCUCCGGAGGCUGAGGUCGGGGGAUCGCCUGAGCCCUGGAGGUCGUUGCUGCAUUGAGCCGUGAACGCACCACUGCAUUCCAGCCUGGGCAACAGAGCGAACUCUAUCUCAAAACAAAACAAAACAAAACAAGAAAAAGAAAAAAAGAAGAAAAUUAAAAAAAAAAAGAAAGAAAAAGAACGUCCCAGGUCUGUUGAAGCACUAAGAAAAGCAGAAAAAGAAAGGGGAGCCAGGGAAGGGCUGGCAGGCUGUGCAAUUUAAGGGAGCACCAGAAAAACUGGCAAUCAAAUAAUAUAUUAAUGUAAUAUUUUAAAAAGUAAAAAUUAAUGCAGGAAAUCCGGGAGGAACAAAAUAAGAGUCAUGUGUACCUUAACAACAGGGUAAGGUCUGAGGAUUGCGUCAUUAGGCGAUUUUGUUGCUGUACGAACACCACAGAAUGUACUUUGACGACCUAGAUGGUGGAGCCUGGACACACCUCGGCUCUGUGGUGUGGCCUGCUGCUUCCAGGCUGCAAACCUGACAGCAUGGGGCUGUACUGAAUACCGCAGACCAUUGUAAUUCAUGGGGAAAGCGCGAAUGCAGUCCCCCACUACAACAAAUUAUGCAGUCGAGUUUUCCACAUUUGGGAAUAUCACAGGGGUCAGCACAUCCGGAGUGCAAUCGAUGAGCCCCACGCUGGGAAAAACCACCUUCGUGAUCAUGGUAUCUUCCCUGCCAGAGAGAAACCAAUCAGCUUCAUUUUCAACUUCUUCUAUGACUCCAGAGGAUUCACUUUGCAUCUUGUGACAAAUGAAUAUAUUACCUGAAAAAAAAAUGACAGGAUAGAUUAUUCAUUCUGAAUGAUCAUGUGGUCAUCUUCUGCCCAUGAGGAAUAGUAACGUACCACAUGGGGGUGAUGCCCAAGCACUGCGUGAGCAUAAACUUCAUGCAAAGCCGAAUUCCUAUGAGACAGAAAAGCAUUGAGGAAUAAAAACAUCAAUCAAGAUAAUGCACACAAAAAUGUUUCUUAAAAAUAUGAGGCUUUACUAGCAAUGGCAGAAUAUUUAUUGAGAGCUCACUGCUUGCUUACUAUUUUAUCUCA
Molecule: long non-coding RNA, 1177 nt
Filed under: Homo sapiens (human)
Lineage: Eukaryota; Metazoa; Chordata; Mammalia; Primates; Hominidae
Description: non-protein coding WEE2-AS1:25
Source: RNAcentral